RNAcentral lists this unclassified non-coding RNA (333 nucleotides) under Hevea brasiliensis (rubber tree). The record is from RNAcentral. Lineage: Eukaryota; Viridiplantae; Streptophyta; Magnoliopsida; Malpighiales; Euphorbiaceae.
GUUCUUCUGUAAAGGUUAGUUUUGAAAUACAUUUUUUCCUUUGCCCUUGGUUACUAAACUAAUGAAAUAAAUAUUGUGCUUAAGAUGAGUUAUAUAUCAUUAAUGCAAAGCUUGUGAUUCCUAAAAUGCUACUUUUAUAUAUUAGAAUUUAUAUAUGGCUGAUUCUAUUUUUAAUAAUUUGGGCUGUUAAAUAUGUGGAAUCAGGAGCCAUGAUUGCCAAAUUUGGCUAAAGUUUUAAAUCUUAAAAAACAAUCGAAAGCUAAAAAUCUGAAUCUAAAUCCACCAUGAGAUAUAAUUGUCACAUAGAAAUAAGAUGUUUAUCAAAGUAUUUUU